UACAGAGGUCCCAAGCGUUGUUCGGAUUCACUGGGCGUAAAGGGUGCGUAGGUGGCGAGGUAAGUCGGAUGUGAAAGCUCGGAGCUCAACUCCGAAAUGGCAUUGGAAACUACCUUGCUCGAGGGUUGGAGGGGGGACUGGAAUACUUGGUGUAGCAGUGAAAUGCGUAGAUAUCAAGAGGAACACCAGUGGCGAAGGCGAGUCCCUGGACAACACCUGACACUGAGGCACGAAAGCGUGGGGAGCAAACAGG
RNAcentral lists this ribosomal RNA (253 nucleotides) under uncultured bacterium. RNAcentral describes it as "partial 16S ribosomal RNA". It matches the Rfam family "Bacterial small subunit ribosomal RNA", at positions 524 to 776 of the family's 1533-position model. The record is from RNAcentral.